UAGGGAGACCUAAUCCAUUUAGAAAUCGAAAACAAUGAAAAUUGUCAAUAGAAACUAAAUUGGUCUAACCCAGGUCGUUCGAGAUUGGUAGACAUCUUUCAGAGUAUUAUUCGGCUUCGUUCAAAACCAUAUAUAAUAAAUGGAAAAAGACAGCACCUAAUUGUCAAAGUUAGACUGCUGGAUGAAGUUCCAGCCAGAACCUUGAAAACUGCAUAAGAGAACAAGAAAAAGCAGGCAGACACAGACAUUUAGAUGGAUGUGGAAGCAAAAGAAAUUGU
This 278-nucleotide unclassified non-coding RNA is filed under the name uncultured Anabaena sp. Its description in RNAcentral is "partial 16S-23S ribosomal RNA intergenic spacer". The record is from RNAcentral. Lineage: Bacteria; Bacillati; Cyanobacteriota; Cyanophyceae; Nostocales; Nostocaceae.